Molecule: long non-coding RNA, 1607 nt
Organism: Larimichthys crocea (large yellow croaker)
Lineage: Eukaryota; Metazoa; Chordata; Actinopteri; Sciaenidae
Exons: 3
Source: RefSeq, a predicted model, not a curated record
UUACUCACCGGGUUAUUACGCGGAGAAAGUCCUCGGUAAUUUUCGGGCUCUUGUUUUUAAAUAUCUUCCCCCCUCACGGCCACUGAGAAUGGGCUCAACGUCAGUGGGAGCGGAGAGAGAGAGAGAGAGAGAGAGAGAGAGAGAGAGAGAGAGAGAUAGAGAGAGAGAGGAACCGGAGCCGGAAUGUCGCUCAGCUCAGCUCAGCAUUCAUCCGGUACACUGGAUCUGCUGGAGCGACCCGCUCCGAGACUGGAACCAACCAACCAACCAACCAACCGAGCCGGGUCUGCUAUGCUGUGUACACACAGUCUAUGAUACAUAAAUCUAUUCCCACCUGGUUUAUGAAUGAACAACCGCCAGGCUCCAGAGACCAGCCCACAUCCUCCACAACCAACCAACCACUGGCUGUCUUCCAGUCCAAAUGUGUUCACAGUGCACACUUUACUCUGCUGUGGACAGGGAGCUCAUGCUGCUCGGCGGUGUGUCCGAAAAUAUGGAGAGAGAGACAGUGUUGGAGUCGUUCAUUCCCGAGGGUCUACUUACUAUGAUGUUCAAGAGCUGUGCUGGCAUAUUUUGCUUCCACUUUCUUUCGCUGAAACAUGAAAAUGUGAGUUAAAUUAUCGCUGUAGACGACAGAUUUUUGUGCUUUCAUUCUUACUGUACCAAGCCCCUUCAGGUUCAUGUGCGUCUAUCCCCAAACAACUGUGUUAUUGGGGUUCUGUUGUGUUUGACCCGGUGACAGCGCUGCAGACUGAGCAGUGGAGUCUGGUCAACAAAUAGGAUUGCAAAGGCUGGAGGGAAUCAGGAGGGCAAUGAGGAGGAGGAGGAAGACGAGGGCUCUGCAAACAGUGGAGACAACUAUUGCGCUCCAUUUGACAAAAAGACAUGAGGGAAAUGUGAUAAACCCCAUUGAUUCUCAUUAUAGCAGGAGAGGCAGACAGAGAGAACAGACAUACCUCGACAGGCUGUGGUGAAGCCUCCUGAUGAUUUCCAACCCCUCGUUUUUUGUUUUUUCUUCUUCCCUCAGACUUUUUGAGCAGCACCAGCAGAAAGCUGGCUGCCGGCACCCCAUGCUGCUUUGCUUUUGGGGGGAGCGGAGAGCCAAUCAAUGUGUGCUCACAAAGGGGGGAAGAGCAUUCAGAAAGCCAACUGUUCCCUCAGGCCAUGGGCAAUGAAGAAGUGGGAGAGACAGAGGGAGACAGUGCAGAGAGAGAGAGAGAAGAGAGGCGAGCGGGUUGACAACAUGUUUCCUUUGCUACUAUAAACUGAGAGGAAUAACAUGAUCACUGCAGUGCUGACGUGCAGGAAAUGUAAUACAAACUCCACUGAAAUCACAUCACGAGAAUAUCGCCUGUUUAAAGAACAUCACAACAAAGCCACUGCCAAUGUUUGCGUCAUUAAGAAUUCAUAUCAGUUUAUUAUUUUGCGAUUAAUCGAUUAGUCGAUUCAUUCUAGAGACUGGAUGUGUAAAGGUGAAAAAUACCUGUCACCAGUUUCGAGAGCCCAAGCUAACAUUGGCAAAUUGCUAUCAAAAAUAGUCCGUUAAAAAUAUUAUAAAGCAGAAAAACUACAAGCUCAGAAUACAGAUUUAUUCCAUUUACGAUGAU